AUACGUAGGGGGCGAGCGUUGUCCGGAAUUAUUGGGCGUAAAGGGUACGUAGGCGGUUUUUUAAGUCUGGUGUGAAAUUGGUGGGCUCAACCCACCCAAGCAUUGGAAACUGGAAAACUUGAGUCAUGGAGAGGAAAGUGGAAUUCCUAGUGUAGCGGUGAAAUGCGUAGAUAUUAGGAGGAAUACCGGUGGCGAAGGCGACUUUCUGGACAUGUACUGACGCUGAGGUACGAAAGUGUGGGGAGCAAACAGGAUUAGAUACCCUGGUAGUCCACGCCGUAAACGAUGAGUGCUAGGUGUUGGGGGUCAAACCUCGGUGCCGCAGUUAACACAUUAAGCACUCCGCCUGGGGAGUACGUGCGCAAGCAUGAAACUCAAAUGAAUUGACGGGG
Molecule: ribosomal RNA, 392 nt
Filed under: uncultured bacterium
Lineage: Bacteria
Description: partial 16S ribosomal RNA
Rfam family: Bacterial small subunit ribosomal RNA
Source: RNAcentral